RNAcentral lists this ribosomal RNA (443 nucleotides) under uncultured bacterium. RNAcentral describes it as "partial 16S ribosomal RNA". It matches the Rfam family "Bacterial small subunit ribosomal RNA", at positions 338 to 795 of the family's 1533-position model. The record is from RNAcentral.
CCUACGGGUGGCAGCAGUGGGGAAUAUUGGGCAAUGGGCGCAAGCCUGACCCAGCAACGCCGCGUGAAGGAAGAAGGCUUUCGGGUUGUAAACUUCUUUUCUCAGGGACGAAGAAAGUGCCGGUACCUGAGGAAUAAGCCACGGCUAACUACGUGCCAGCAGCCGCGGUAAUACGUAGGUGGCAAGCGUUAUCCGGAUUUACUGGGUGUAAGGGGCGUGUAGGCGGGAAAGCAAGUCAGAUGUGAAAACCAUGGGCUCAACCUGUGGCCUGCAUUUGAAACUGUUUUUCUUGAGUACUGGAGAGGCAGACGGAAUUCCUCGUGUAGCGGUGAAAUGCGUAGAUAUGAGGAGGAACACCAGUGGCGAAGGCGGUCUGCUGGACAGCAACUGACGCUGAGGCGCGAAAGCGUGGGGAGCAAACAGGAUUAGAUACCCCUGUAGUC